Long non-coding RNA from Paramormyrops kingsleyae, 803 nucleotides. RefSeq lists it as uncharacterized. Lineage: Eukaryota; Metazoa; Chordata; Actinopteri; Osteoglossiformes; Mormyridae. The record is from RefSeq and is a predicted model, not a curated record.
UGACCGCAGCAAGCAUGCAAAUGUGACGCAGGAGGGAACGCAUUUAAAUCGCGAUUUAACAUGCAAAAUGGGUCUAUGCUUUCGUAGAAAUAAAACGCAUGCCAGGGCAUUAAAAUGCAGACCUCCCCAGCCAAAGUAUUUAGCUGGUUUGACGUCUUCGGUUCGGAAAACGUAAAUUUUUACAGGAAAAAAUGUCGGUAAGAAGCUAUUUGGACAUCAAACCUGGCACCCUGAAAGUUGGGAGUCAGCCUACUUGUGGGCUGAAGCUCCUAUUACUCAGCGUUGGUUCCCUAACCCACCCAGGUGUCAUGACUGAUGUCUCCUGUCUGUCGCUCCAAAGAGCUUGACUUUUUCUGACUGGAUCAAAAGUGGGUGAAGAAGAAUGAUUAAAGGUAACAUUAAUUACUUAAGGACUGAUUAAGACCAGGACAAAUUUGAAAGUAGAAACUCAUUGCUCUCAUUAAAUAUGAUUAAGAAUAGAUGCGGCAAUAGACUGUCCAGUUUUAUGUGGGUUGGGAUGCUGUGCCAAUGAUCAGAAAGUUGCUGGUUUAAAUCCUGUGGUUGGCAGAGUGAUUUCACUUUUGGUCUUAUGGGCUUGAAUCAAAGGUAACUGGACUUUACUGCUGGGACCUUGAACAAAGCCCAUAACCCCCAAUAAUCCCUGGGAUUGGUUGACCCUGUUCUUUAAUCUCCAAUCGUAUCACUUUGGGUAAAACAGUCUAUGAAGUUGUUAAUGCAAAAGGUGAAUGUAGAGAACACUCAAGUACAACUUUUUGUACGGAUGCCCUAGUAGAAAAAUCCAA